GGGGUGUUAGCUCAGUGGUAGAGCAAUUGACUGCAGAUCAAUAGGUCUUCGGUUCAAAUCCGGAACGCCCCU
Transfer RNA from Neocallimastix californiae, 72 nucleotides. It matches the Rfam family "tRNA". From Rfam's summary of the family: Transfer RNA (tRNA) molecules are approximately 80 nucleotides in length. Their secondary structure includes four short double-helical elements and three loops (D, anti-codon, and T loops). The record is from Rfam. Lineage: Eukaryota; Fungi; Neocallimastigomycota; Neocallimastigomycetes; Neocallimastigales; Neocallimastigaceae.